UCGAGCAGACUCGAGCUCCGGACUUUGGGAACGCAAGGUGUCCGAAGGCUGUCCUCGCGCCUCGCCCGCUUCGAGUCCGCCGCCGCCGCCGCCGUCGCCGCCGCGCUCGAUCGCGCGACAGUCCCUUCCGGGAGCAGCGUCAGGCCAGAGGGAACCACCGGGAGUCGGGCGGCGUCCGGCAUCGAGCAGUACCGAGCCGAGCCACCAUGGACAAGAAGGCCGAGCAGUAUUACUCCCCCCCGCCGGAGCUCGGCAAGUGGGAGGGCUUCAGGGUGUUCCUGUGGAACUCGGAGACGGGUCAGGUCCUGGGCCGCACGGGCGCUAGCUGGGCGAAAAUCCUGCUGUUCUACGUAAUUUUCUAUGCGGUUCUCUGCGGCUUCUUCGGGGCCAUGCUGGCCGUUUUCUACCAGACGCUGGACCCGAAUUCACCAAAAUGGCAGUUGGAAGGUUCGCUCAUCGGCAACAAUCCUGGCCUCGGUUUCCGCCCGAUGCCGCCCGAGAGCAACGUCGAGAGCACCCUCAUCUGGUACAAGUCCACCGACGAGGGAAACUACCUCCACUGGACGAAAGGCCUCGACCAGUUCCUUCAGUCAUACGAGAAGACGGGAAAUGCCCCGAACGGCGCCGAGACGAGAGUGAUCUGCGACUAUGAGAGACCACCGCCUCCGGGGAAGGUCUGCGACGUGGAGAUCGACCAAUGGCACCCUUGCACCAAGUCGAACAAGUACAACUACCACAAGGCAGCGCCCUGCAUUUUCCUAAAAUUGAACAAGAUCUUCGGGUGGAAGCCAUUGUUCUUCAACGACACGGAGACCCUGCCCUCCAACAUGCCCGACGACUUGAAGGCGCACAUUGCGAACGAGAGGUCGCGAAACAUUAAGGCCGUGGACACGGUCUGGGUCUCCUGCGAGGGCGAGAACCCUGCUGAUGUCGAGAACAUCGGACCUAUCCAAUACAUACCACGUCGUGGAUUCCCCGGAUACUACUUCCCGUUCUCGAACACUCCGGGAUACUUGAGCCCUCUCGUCGCGGUCUUCUUCGAGAAACCCAAGUACGGCGUGUUGAUCAACAUCGAAUGCAAGGCCUGGGCGCACAACAUCAUUCACGACAGAUUCGAGAGGCGCGGGUCCGUGCACUUCGAGCUGAUGGUGGACUAAAUCGGCAGAGCAGCCGAGCCCUCAAGACCACUACCAACCGUCUCGUAUUCGUCAUCUCCGAGAGAAGAUCAUCGUCAGCUUUGGCGAACGGAGCGAUCGCGGCUACCCCCUGCACCUCGUCGAUCCUUUCGCUGAAUCGUCCUCAUCGUCCGCGUUUCACCGCCGCGAAGCGUCGCCGCUUCGUCCUCGUCAUCACUUCGUCGUUUGGUCCCUAAGAUAAUAUAUACAUAACAGACAAAAAAAUAUAUAUUAAUAACGAAGGCGCGCACGACCCCGAGGGUGAUCCUGGUAGAUCCUGGCCGCGAGAGGAAGGUCCUCGUCCGGAUGAAUCAGGGAUUCCUCUCCAGGGUGUCCGAGGUGCUCUCGCAGGAUGCGCGUCCACGGGACUCGACGAUCAGUUUCGUUUCGCCCUUCGAUCUCUUGGUUCUUAACUGGAAAAAAAAAACAACAACAAAUCACCUUCCAUUACGAGGCGAAAAAACGCGCGCUCCGAGCCGAGGGCCAGCUCGACGAGUCUCGUCCACGAGGGGAAGGUCCUCGAAAGGAGGUCUUUUCGCGGCGUUUCUCGAUCCUUUCCAUCGUGGACGUGCGUUUCGAAAAAAAUCGGCCAUCCACAUAGUCACCUGGUCCGCGAGAGGACGCAACGAGGAAGGUAGCUGUCCCGCGUCUCCCACUUUUACCUGGUUUCGUUGUUUAAUAAGUGUGCCGAGUUCCGUUCGUAAAAUACGAUUUCUUUCAAUGCUACCGGACGACUGAUGGAUCGUGCGAUCCUUCUCGUUGAGUUCUUUGCAUCCCCACACGUUAGACGUCGGAUAUCCGACAUCCUUCCGCCGGAUAUACGUGCGAACGUGGAUGCAUUUUCUCGUGAGCCUCGUGAUUGGAUAUCCGAUGCCGGAUGCGUGAUGGAAGCUAGCCGGUGACGAACCGAAGGGAUGGAAGGACCUUCCUCGGAAGGACCUCGGAGGGAAGUCCUUGCAGGUUCGGGAAUUGGCUUGGGCACCCGCAACACCUCGACACACCUCGGAAAGCACAAAAUUCCCAGACCCAGAGGAAAGACCCGCACAAAGGAGCGUCGGGGUCGCCGUCAUCGGGACGCAGGUCCCGAAGAUGGCGACCUCCAAGAGGCUUCACCAGGAAAGGACCCCGUAAGCCUGGUUUCACCCGUGCAGGGAGAAGCCGCUGCAUCGGGUAUCCGAUCGCUACCAAGCUGUUACGCGGCCUUUGACUUUUACCGGGUUUAUCGUUUGAGGUGUGCGCUAUGUAUAGUUUUUAAUCAUUUCUUCGAUGCGCCAAGUUAGUUCGACCGAGUCUACGGCGUUCAAUGAUGCCGGACGACUGACGGAUGGAUCGCGUGAGAGCUCUCGUUUGAGUUCUUACGUCUCUAUACGGAUAUCCGAGGUCUACCGAACGCACGCGUGAACGCAUCUAUUGCGGUCUACGUAUUAGUCCCAUGUACCUCGCGAUCAAAUCUUCGAUUCUUACGAAGCGUGCCAGUUAACUUCGUACCAAUGAAUUGUUCAAUGCUGCCGCACGACUGAUGGACGAAUCGGGUAAACUCUCUCUCAUUUGACUUCUUACAUCUCGAUACGGAUAUCCGGCGUCUAUGGAACGUACGCGUAAACGCAUCCGUGCGGUCCCGUGUACCUCGCGAUCGGAUAUCCGACGCAGGGCGGAUUCGUCCGGCAAGGGGGAAACCAGGCUAACACUCGCGGUUACCGCUGAAGCACUUUUUUUAGGCAGACCAGGGGGUAGGGAUAUUGGUGUCGGGAUCGAGAGACACCCCGUAGAUGUUCAUGCCACGCGUAGGUUAGUCCUCUAGAGACGUUGCCCGGGUCGCUCGGGAUUCGCUUGACCGGAGGAGGGCUGCGAGGGCGGGGAUUGCGCGUCGAAACGAGGCAAUGCCGAGAGGGAGAGCAAACGAAUCAAGACGGUGAGAGUGAGAGCGAGAUAAAAACGCGCGGUAUAUAUGCGAGUGAAUGAGAGACCGACCGGGAGCGAGCGAGAACGAGCGAUGGAACGCAUGGGAGAGCGAGAGGGACCGACCGAUAGGCUGCGAGAUUCGUAGAUAACGAGCGAGCGAGAGAUUCUCAGAUGCACGCUGCUUGGCAGAAGAUCAAACCACGUCGCGUAAUGCGUACGCAAUGUGUACGCGAUGCACGUAAUUUACGCGCUUAGUGAUGUCUACGCAAUGACGGCCGCGCUUGGCCGUGGGCGAGGGCGAGAUUCUUCGGAGGGGACGAGACGCUGGAAGACUGAUCCCCUUAAAAAAUUCAGGAUGGCGCCCGGGAUACGGAAACGCGGUUUCCCGAAAGGGGCGAAGAAACGCCCCGAAUGGGAAUUUGAAAGGGCCUGGUAGCGUUCGUUACCGCGAAUUCGGGUGCUUUUCUCUCGAAUUGGUCCAGAGGGUUUUCGUAUCUCGGAGUUGCGAGCUUUUUUCGAGGACGCACCUCCGGUGGGUGUCGUCUCGUCACCUCGAAGAGCGCUCCAGAGCGGUCGGCGCUGACUCGCCCGGGUGUUCGAGGCGUACUUAACUUAAGUUUUAAGAAUUCAUUCGAGGCUCGCACUUAAGGAGGAACGAGACGAAGCCUGCCUAGAAGAAUAUCCGUAUGACGUUAUACGAACUACUUACGAUUGUACUGUACCGCAUUACUAUAUAUAUAAAUAUAUACAUAGGGUGUAUACUGGCGUACGUGCACGCGAAUGUAUACACGGGGUGUAAAGUUACAGGUGAAAUGACUGGGGGAAUCAGAGGCACUCGGGAGGUAAAUGCAGGAAACGGGCGAGAGAGAAACAAAAACACCGACGACAUGUUCGGGUACACGCGGCCACGCAGUCGUACUUAUUAUAGUCGGUAGGUAAUUCCAUUAUGUGGCCUACGGGCUAUGCGUGGUUCGUGAUUCGCGAUUCGUGGGGCGUCUUUGGAAAAGUUGAGGUACUCGAGGGGACAUUACUUUUUCCAUAGACAUGACGCAUGGGGUCAUGGACUCGUCGUCCAGUUCAUUGUGCUUCGGUUCGGCGCGAACUACUCAUCGGCGAUCGUGAUCAAUCGGCUUGCCAUAAGUCGUCAUAAAUCGCCAGAAAUCCCGAACCGUAUAAUGCCAGUUCAGCGGGAAUUCAUUCAAGAAUCACAAUUUACGAAUCAGCGAGAAGCCAGUUCGUCGCAUCGACGAACUCGCACGAACUGGCGUGCCACGAAUUUCUAAUCACAAGCUACGGAUAGUCCGUAGCGGCCUUUAGAGGCGAUUUUUCGAGGGGAGGAGAGCUCGCUCGACGCCGGGUUUCGGCGAGCGCCGCGACGUCGCCUCCUCGUCGGGUUCCGGAGAGCGGGUCGUCGGAUCGAUCAGCUGAUCUCGCGCGAUAGUACAAACGCCGGUCCCGGGGGUCGUCGGCCGGCUCCUCGUCGAGACCCGAUCGAUCGAUACCCAUCGAUCGACGUAACGAGAACGAUAAUAAUUCGAUCCCGGCCAUGCCUGGGGACAUGUUAAACUUAAAGAUUAGAAAGGAUCACCGAUGACACUAAUAAAGAACACGCGUUAACGGCAUAACGUGUACAGGCUGUCCCGGAACGACUCUGCCGCACCUCGGCGGUGCACUCUGCGAUAGGUUAUGAAAAACUAACAUCGCUAUCGUAACAACGUCAUGCUCAUCACUGACGGAUUCGUUCCGACAAAGCGCUCUCGUGUUCAUAAGUGUAUAACGUUGUUCCCUCGUUUCCGGAAGUGGAGUGCGUUACCCAGGUCUGGCCGCCGCUUUCUGGGACGCCCUGUAUAGAUAUAUUAUUAUUAAAAAUAAAAGGUAUAUAUAUAUGCAUAUAUAUAUACACAUCUGUAACCUGUAACUAGAGCAAAGUGAUUAUAUUCAUCAUUAUAGAUGAGCUGUUUCUAUAAUGGAUAUCUAAUGUUGUUAAAGUGUGAAGUGCGAGGGAGGGAGAGAAAGGGUUAAACGGUGACUGCGACGAGAGAAUGGACGGCUGUUUUGUGCGCGUGUAAGUGUGUGCGGGUGCCCGAGUGAAAUGUACUUAACGACCGAUUAAUUAAUAAAUCGCCGAUGCGAUUCCGAUGGUCGCGCUUAAAGCGUCGAACAUGGCGAGACCCAAUGCGCACCGUCGAGGAAACGGCUCGCCGACUUUGACGUUACGUAUACGUUAAUGUGCGGAUUGACUGCGAAAAUGACGCCGUAAAGACGGGCCGUAAGUGUGAACCAGGACUUUCGGUAACCGGGAGUCACUCAAAAGCUCCGAUCACUGAACAAAGGGAAUAAAGGACUUCGAUGCGAAAAGCUGAUGUGAACUUUUGCGCGGUCGAGGUAGCGAACGACGUUUCUUCGGGUGUGCAAAAGUUAAGUGGAAAAUUCGCUGAUGUCGAAGGAUGCACGUUUUCUAGCGUAAUUUGAGACUAGGAGGGUUUAACCACUUUUUUAAUUAUUUUCGAAGCACUUUUCCAUGCCGGUCGAAAAGUCCUCUUGGGUGCCAAGGUGCCGCCAUGUUUGAAGGAACAGUUUCAUCGGAGCUUGUCGGUGGUACCUGGAUGAGGAAGGUCCUGGGAGAUCCUGCGGUGGGAUCGCAUUAAUUGUACGUUCGAUACCUCCUUGCUCGCCUUGAUGCUCGAGCAAGGAUUACGUCGAAGGACGAGCCGCGAGGUCCUCGGAGGAGCGCGAAUAGUUUUCCUAGUCACACGAACCCACGCGAAGCGAGGAGUCCCGCGAAAAACCGCAAAAGUGGAAUAGAAAGCGCACUAAGAGGUAAAAAGAGCUGGUCGUUGCGCCUCGAAACGCUUCAAGGAGGGACGACCAGCGAAAAAUCUUACCAGGCGCUAUAUAACACCGCGUUAUAGGGGAUCGCGUUAUAAGUCGUCGGGUUAUAACGUGUAACGUAAUAAAGUACCGCGUUAUAAAUCGUCGCGUUGUAGAACGGCGCGUUAUCGAGCACCGCGUUAUAAAUCGUCGGGUUAUAACGCGUAACGUAAUAAAGCGCCGCGUUGUAGAACGUCGUGUCGUAGAGCGCCGCGUUGUAGAACGUCACGUUACAAAACGUCGUGUUAUAGAUCACCGCGUUGUAGAACGCCGCAUUACAGAACGUCCCGUCAUAGAGUGCCGCGUUACAGAACGUCGCAUUAUAAAACGUCGGGUUAAAAAAAAGAAAACAAAAAACGUUAUGAAGCGCUGCGUUAUGGAACGUCAUUAUAUAGCACCGCGUUAUAAAACGUCAAGUUAUAGAGCGCCACGUUAUAAAACGUCAUAUCGGAGAUCGCCGCGUUACAGGACGUCACGUUAUAAAACGCCGCAUUACAGAACGUCGCGUUACAGACCGCCGCGUUAUAAAACGUGUUAUAGAACUAUGCGUUAAAGGACGUCACGUUAUAGAGCGCCGCGUUAUACAACGUCUCGUUAUCGGUCGCCGCGUUAUCGGCCGUCGCGUAUCGAAACGUGGCGUUAUAGAGCGCCGCGUUAUAAAACGUCGCGUUAUCGGCCGCCGCGUAUCGAAACGUGGCGUUAUAGGUCGCCGCGUUAUCGAGGUCGCGAGUGGACGUCGGGAAGGAAGUCCUUCGAGGCGAUUCGCUCGUCUUUAUUCCGCAGCCUCGGUCGCUCUACCCGAGGGCGUAGUUCCAGUUUCGAUUUCGAGAGUCCAGUUUCGCUCAGGCGAGUCAACGCUACCGUAGACCUCGCUCGAUCUCGCGGCCCGGAUCGGACCGUUCGCGCGGGGCGCGACAUCGCGCGAGGACACUUUAUGCUGCCAUUAUUGUGUGUCCGCUUCAGUGGUGGGAGAUAUCCGGACGCGGUUCUCCGUAUUUAGCGUUUGUAUCUAGGCACUCCUUCGAUCGUCGUCCGUCUCGCGCCUGUCGACACCGCACGCCGCCCCCUCGAUCAAGUGAGGAGGGCAGCUCCCCCGUGGCGAGGCCCACCACCGAAGUACGUAGAAACUGCCAGGCGAUAUCGUAAUCGACCCCCGGCGAGGCGCGACCGGCCCGGGUGGCGAGGCCAGUCCUCCUCGAGGCAUCGCGCGAGGAGGUCGGGUCGCGCGCGUGCUGUCCGCACCCGAGCCAAACAAUUCGAACGCUCUAUAAAAGCCCAGAUCAUUUUUCUUCAUUUAUCCCGAUCACUUGUAACACAUACUAGAGGCGUCAUUUCUGUCAAACUCUCUGCAAACGAUGAUUCGACGCAAACUAAACUUUUAGUGCGCCGAUAGUACGCGUACUAAAAGAUUCAUUCCGAGAGUUUGAUACGAAGUACCACUUUAGGACGCGUACCGAGUGAUCGGUGUGUGCUAAGCGUAUGUUGGCGUUUGAUGCUUCAUAUGUUGGCAACCAGGAUGGAUCGGUAUUAAGGUGUUCAAUCUGAAAUUGCGGACUUUACUGUCAAAGAAGACGAUAAAAUCCGCAAAUUUGGUGAACUGGGGUUAACAAAAUUGGUAUCUUCGGUUUACAUGGCGCUAUCCUUGUUGACCCUGGAAUGGAAAAAUCUUAUAUACUAGUUUUACAGUGAAUAAUUUAUCAGUAAUAAUACAUUGAAAUAUAGACGAGCAGCGUUCGUUAUCGGAACAAAUACCGCGUACACGCGCACGAUUUAACGGCGUGGUAUUCGGCACGUGUUUCGCUAAUUGUCUCACCUGAUUGGUUGUAUUUCAGUUGAUUCUUACAGGAAAACCAUGCACUGUAGACAAAAAUGGUAUGAGACCUUUCUACCCCAUUUCCAGCAAGUCCGGGUAAAUCGUGGCCACUGGUUUUGUAACACCCGGUAGAAGAACCUAAUAAACAAGAGAACACAUGUGUUAUACAACGGAAUCUCACUUAUGAGAGAAAAUCGUAUUGAAUAGUGGGUACCGCGAGUAAGACAAAGAGCACGUGCAACCUGUAUGAUUGUCGUAAGAGUGGGAUGGAGAGACCAUUGGAGCGUCGCCAUUUGUUCAUUGCUGUGCUAAUUAUCGAACUUGGUCUAACGUUCGCGUUUUCUUGGGCUUUUAUGGAAAUUUCCGAAUUAUUUGUUCGCCCAAGCGGGUGCGCCCUCGCACUUCGGGUCGGUUUCCUUUCGCGCGUCCACGUGGGCACACUGUUAAGCGUUAUCUAACCCAUCACUGAUAUCCGAGUGGAAAAGGCGAUGCUUUCGACGCGUUUGCUCUGUGCGGAAUCGUAGUCUGACUUAGUACUAGCUCCAUUACCAAUCACUGUUGGUAUGACGAAUAAACGAUGUUUCCAUCGAAACGAAUCCAGCUCUGUAUGUGCGACAUACGUAGCACUCUAGUCCUUAAUUAAAUUGCGUACUUGUAGUACUUAUACACGACCGGGAACACGCGCGCUUCGGCGAGCACAGCGUUUAAGGCGGUAUGAAAGUGGUUGUUGAGAAGUCGAUCAGAUAUGAAUUUUCUCCAAACUGGACACGUAGAAUAGUUUGAAACUUUACCACGUGAACAUGGAUGCCAUAAGGAAGGUCUCGACACCCACGAGAUUCCUCUUUUACAUUUGCUUGUAGACAUUUUCUUUUUAAUUUUCGUAAAGAAAAUGUAAUUUCACGGGUAUCGAGACCUUCCUUAUUGCAUCUAUGCUCACGUGGUAUGAUUUCAAACGAUUCGGCACAUCCAUGUUCAGGGAUAAAUGACAAUUUGAUACCUGAGAUGCCACUUUCAUAUCAUCUUUGAAGGGCCAUCGGGUGUGAUUAGGGAGGCUUAGCGAUUCCGCUGCUUUCCGAGGAUGCGAGCCGCGAAUCGGUGGCCCUGACUUCGUUAGUUCCUCAGAACCGAUUUUUCUGGUUACCGUUGUCAGCGUAGCGAUUAUUAAUUCGUAUACAGUCGAUACUCUCGAAAGCCGCGUACUCUCACCCCGACGACAUUGUCACGGGCACGACGGUGCCGAAAGACGUCACCGAACACACGAUGUUGCUUCUCACGGAGUAAAUAAGAGAGACACGUUUCAGACCCACGCGCAAGCUGAUGUCGAGUUUCACAAUGCCGAAGGCGUAUUUAGCACCGAGUGACGAGACGUGUAAGUAUUUUUACUUUUGCUUUUCAAUUUGGUUAGCCCAUAAAACCAUCUCGGAAUU
RNAcentral lists this unclassified non-coding RNA (9188 nucleotides) under Orussus abietinus. Its description in RNAcentral is "sodium/potassium-transporting ATPase subunit beta-2, transcript variant X2". The record is from RNAcentral. Lineage: Eukaryota; Metazoa; Arthropoda; Insecta; Hymenoptera; Orussidae.